CUCCUUUGGUCUCUAGCCUUAGGAGGCUUUGCUUUCCUAUGUAUGUGUCCCUCUGUCACCUGGGACUGGAACAGCUUCUGAACAUAUGUAAACUGACCAUCCCAGAAACCUUUUUCCUGUCUGCAAAAUGAUAUUUCUUCCCACAUCUUUUCUGCAAAUCUUUAAAAUAAACUUUCCUGCUUCCCUUCAUGCCCAUUUGUUAGGUGAAACCUGCUCUUCCAAAUAUUGAAGAGGAAUCCCCUCCCAUGAAACCUCUCUCCUCUUUCCCAUCUGUAUAAGGGAACAUCUCCUUUCCUAUCUGUAAAAUGGAACCUAGCCCUCUUCUCCAUCC
RNAcentral lists this long non-coding RNA (331 nucleotides) under Marmota monax (woodchuck). Lineage: Eukaryota; Metazoa; Chordata; Mammalia; Rodentia; Sciuridae. The record is from RNAcentral.